Molecule: ribosomal RNA, 301 nt
Filed under: uncultured bacterium
Lineage: Bacteria
Description: partial 16S ribosomal RNA
Rfam family: Bacterial small subunit ribosomal RNA
Source: RNAcentral
CAGCAGCCACGGUAAUACGAAGGGGGCUAGCGUUGUUCGGAUUUACUGGGCGUAAAGGGCGCGUAGGCGGACUGAUAAGUCAGGGGUGAAAUCCCAAGGCUCAACCUUGGAACUGCCUUUGAUACUGUUUGUCUUGAGUUCGGGAGAGGUAAGUGGAACUGCGAGUGUAGAGGUGAAAUUCGUAGAUAUUCGCAAGAACACCAGUGGCGAAGGCGGCUUACUGGCUCGAUACUGACGCUGAGGCGCGAAAGCGUGUGGAGCAAACAGGAUUAGAUACCCCGGUAGUCCCUGUCUCUUAUCC